GGGGGGGAGGGGGGUUUACAAGCAGGUGUUGGAGAAAAGGUGCGUACAUCAGGUGGCAUCCCAGUGCUGUAAGAAAACCUUCACGUCUGAGCAUUAGCAAUAGACACAAUCCAUCGUCUGGCUGUGAAAAUCUGCAGGAGCAGACUGAGGAAGAGUGUGAUGUGGGAGCCUGGGAAGGGCCACGAGGGAAAUAUAUUGUCUGAAGGACUGUGCUGUGGGCAGGUGGUGCCUACCAGUCCUGGGGAGCUCUGGAGCUCAUGGGCUGCAGUUCAUCACCCAAAGACUUUCCAGCUCUUGGUUUCUUCCAAGACUCCCUGGAAGAGGAUCCCAUUAUUACCUGCUACCAUUGUGAUGCUAUGAGAUGGCCAGCAGGAUAUUGGGAACAGAUCUGAGAAAAAAAUAACCAUUUCAUACAACAUUCAACGACCCUUAACUGCCAUCCAUGUGUCCUAAUCUCUCCUGUUUCCAAGGGUGUGUUGUUACCCAAGACAAGAGAGAGCUGUUUUUUCCUCUGCCUGUUCUGUUACUUUGUCCUCUUCUCUAAGCUGGUGGAACAGGAUAUCCCAAUUCCAAAAUGCAGAGGACUCUGCCACUAGCACUGGAGGUUCAGUCCGUAUCUGGUCUUUUUAAUUGCUUGGGAAAAUUCAACAUAGGGCUUGUGUGCCCUGAAGCCAUUUAUUCCAGACACAUGAGUUGCUGUAAUAUGUGAUUUCUCUCUUCCUUUGUGCCAGGGAUGAACUGGGUGAGUAUAUUCUCUCAGCCAUUGUGCAAGGUUGUAAAGCACCUUGUAAAUGGGUCACUUGAAGGUCUCCAAGUCAAAGGAUCUGGGUAAAAUCCAAAGGGUUGUUGAUGUGUGAGGGAGCAGAUUAGAAGUGGGAAUUGAUUCACUUUUAUUUUAUUUAGGGAGAUCUGUAGAAAGGAGAGAAGUAUGACUCUGCAGUCCCUCAGGAAAGACCUGCUGUUGGCUCCAAGAUUCGGGCUUCUGCCAUGGGACCAAGAGGUUUCAGUGCCAUCUGCCAAAGAGCAGAGGUAUCCACGCCUGCUGGCUGGGUCACCACUGGGUGAUUGUGCAUGCACAAAAUGCACAGAAAGACUGGGAGAGGGCUUGCAUGCAAAUUAGCACAGAAUUAGUGAUUUGAACGGAAGCAGGAGACUUUUUCUGAGAUUAAAAUUCGGAAGCAUUUUCAUGUGCUAUGCUGCUGCUAUGUUUGAAUUGUAAACACUGAAGAGAAGAUUUAAAAUCAGUUCCACGCCAUCUCCUUUAGACUCUCCCUUGACGUAGAUCAUUCCUGGAGGAGACUUAAAUGCAGUACUUCAGGCAAGAUAGCUGGAGCUGCAGCAAUGUCUCCAAAAGUGCUUGGAGCAAUCAGAAACGUCUGUGUUUACAGCUUAUUUGCUAGUUCUUUGCAGUGUCCCCAGACAAGAAGAGUUUGACUUCUGCAACGAUCUAUCAGGAAAGAAAUGUUUCAUGUCAGUAUGGGAGCUGCAGUCUUGGCCUGUAUUCAGGCUGCAAAUCUAGUCCUCCAGAGCUGAAAUAAGAAUAAAAAAAAAAAAAGUUUGUGCA
Molecule: long non-coding RNA, 1564 nt
Filed under: Anas platyrhynchos platyrhynchos (common mallard)
Lineage: Eukaryota; Metazoa; Chordata; Aves; Anseriformes; Anatidae
Description: lncRNA (ENSAPLG00000018369.1)
Source: RNAcentral